GACGAACGCUGGCGGCGUGCUUAACACAUGCAAGUCGAACGGAAAGGCCCUGCUUUUGUGGGGUGCUCGAGUGGCGAACGGGUGAGUAACACGUGAGUAACCUGCCCUUGACUUUGGGAUAACUUCAGGAAACUGGGGCUAAUACCGGAUAGGAGCUCCUGCUGCAUGGUGGGGGUUGGAAAGUUUCGGCGGUUGGGGAUGGACUCGCGGCUUAGCAGCUUGUUGGUGGGGUAGUGGCUUACCAAGGCUAUGACGGGUAGCCGGCCUGAGAGGGUGACCGGCCACACUGGAACGUAGACACGGUCGAGACUCCGACGGGAGGCAGGAGUGGGGAAUAGUGGACAAUGGGCGCAAGCCUGAUCCAGCCAUACCGCGUGGGUGAAGAAGGCCUUCGGGUUGUAAAGCCCUUUUGUUGGGAAAGAAAAGCAGCAGGAGAAUAGCCCGCUGUUCUGACGGUACCCAAAGAAUAAGCACCGGCUAACUUCGUG
This 488-nucleotide ribosomal RNA is filed under the name uncultured bacterium. Its description in RNAcentral is "partial 16S ribosomal RNA". It matches the Rfam family "Bacterial small subunit ribosomal RNA", at positions 28 to 507 of the family's 1533-position model. The record is from RNAcentral.